Molecule: long non-coding RNA, 1254 nt
Organism: Paramisgurnus dabryanus
Lineage: Eukaryota; Metazoa; Chordata; Actinopteri; Cypriniformes; Cobitidae
Source: RefSeq, a predicted model, not a curated record
AUUCAAAAAGUACAUACCUCAAAGAAAACGAUGACGCGAGUUAUCGUCUCUAACGUUCGAGGACUACAAAAAACACUCGGAUUGUAGGCAACAGUUUACUUCCUGGGAUUAGUUACGUAGAUAAGACCAACAUUAUCAUAGUUCAGCCCUCUCUGCUUUGCUUGGGUACGCCCUCAAAGACGAGGGUGGGGAGCGCCGAGUCAGAAGAGAGCUAAAAUGGCGGAGGUUGUGAGUCCCUGCUUUGACUCUGUUUGCAAACUCUUGUUUCAUUGUUUAAGCGAUUAAAUCUCUCGAGUAGACGCUGUCUCUUUAGAUGCGAGGGAAAAUAGCACUUUAUGGACUUCCACAGAGGACAUCAUGUUUAAUACGGUUCCGGAAAAAUCCAGUCAGAAGUUGUUCACGGAGUUUUCACAAUAACUGCUUCUCAUGAACCGAAGCUGGAUUUGCGCGACGUCUCCUCUUGAAAGUUGGAUUACUGUGCACUUCUGGAUCACAGACUAUUCGCAGCUGUACACAUCCUUCUACACUGUAUGCAAACAUGCAACAUCAUAACACACAGUACAAGGAGUCAGACUGGCAUAUGAGGAGCAAAGGAACCCAGACAGUAGCAUCGUUUCACAAUGUUUCCAUCAUCAUCAUCAGUGGAUGCCUUUGCCGUCCGUAGCCUGAGAUUUCAGAUUUGCAGCAAAAAAAAAAUGAUUUUCUCAUUUAUUGGAAUGCUGUGCAGGUAUUUGUACCUUGCAGCCAUCCAUUACAACGUCACCAAGCCGUAACAAAAGCAGGAGAGGGAAAGUACAAGGCUAUGUUCCCAAAACACACAAGUGACAUACCUUAUGUGGAGGAUGUGAUCAGGCUUGUGUUUGAUGAGGUAUUUGAAGAUAAGCUGAAGGAAACCCCGAUUCCAAUGGACCUGGCAUCACAGUUUGAGAGACCUUCAAAGGAGGACGUGAUUGCAUGCCAUCUUCAGUGCAGGGGUCGUCGAAAGCCAAAAUUGUGACCGAUCUGAUCAGGAAGCUCCAAGCGUAUCUGGAGAACAACACACGACAGGAUGAUAACCUAAUAGUGUCGUCUUAGAUAGCACCAGCUGACAAAGCUUUGAUAUGCCAUUUAUCUGAAUAGAUAGCUGUAAGAAAUGAAUUGAACAAUUUUUGAAACAAGAGCACAAUAUGGUUACUAAAGUAUGUUUAUUUGUAUAUUGUUUAACAUUUAAAUAUAUAUUUGUAAUAAAUAAAAAAAACUUUUGACUGACUAUUA